CUUUAGUUUUCUGUUGCUUUGCUCUCUCUGUAUAUACUUGUCCUGGGCUAUCACUUGUACACCCUGGCUUUGUUUGCCAUCCAAAUUCCCAGUUUGCUCUCUCCUAAGCUCCAGACUGUAUCCAAGUACUUCUUUUCUUUCAUUCAUUCAUUCAUUGAGCAUUUACUACAUGCCUCUGCUGGGCUAAUGCUGUGGAUAUAACAGUUAAGGAGGCAGACUGUCCUGAUAAAAUAGCUGGCUGGGCAUGGUGGCUAACUCCUGUAAUCCUAGCACUUCGGGAGGCCGAGGCGGGAGGAUUGCUUGAGCCCAGGAGUUUAAGACCAGCCUGAGCAACAUGGCGAAACCUCAUCUUUACAAAAAAAAAAAAAAAAAAAAAAAUUAGCCAAGCGUGGUGGCACAUGCCUGUAGUCCCAGCUGCUCAGGAGGCUGAAAUGGGCGGAUCAUCUGAGCCCCACAGGCGGAAGUUGCAGUGAGACGAGAUCAUGCCACUGCACUCCAGCCUGGGUGACAGAGUGAGACCUUGUGUUAAAAAAAAAAAAAAGAUAAAAUAGCUAAGAUUCACCGAGGGCCUCCUGCAUGCCUUGCUAAGAGUCUGACAUGUGUUCACUCACUAACCUCACUGCCCUGGGGCUCCCGGGCCUGCCCGUACCCUCCUGUGCUCCAGUUGUCCCCUUUGUAUGAUACAGGGUUUAUCUGUUUAACAGCACUGCUGUGUGACAGGCCCUAUUUUACAGAGGAGAAAACUGAGACACAGAGAGGUAAGGUACCUUGGCUGAGGUUAUGUGGUUGGUUAGUGCUGGAGCUGGGAUUGAACCGGGGUGGUCUUCAAAAACAAACAAGAAACACAUAAAAGAACCAAAUAGGCCGGGCACGGUGGCUCACGCCUGUAAUCCCAGCACUUUGGGAGGCCAAAGUGGGUGGAUCACCUGAGGUCAGGAGUUCGAGACUGACCUGGCCAACAUGGCGAAACCCAGUCUCUACUAAAAAUACCAAAAUUAGCAGGGCAUGCUGGCGGGCACCUGUAAUCCCAGCUACUCAGGAGGCUGAGGCAGGAGAAUUGCUUGAACCGGGAGGCAGAGGUUACAGUGGGCCAAGAUCACACCACUGCUCUCCAGCCCUCUAGGCGACAGAGGGAGACUCCAUCUCAAAAAUAUAUAAAUAAAUAAAAUAAAAGAACCAAAUAACCAGGCAUGGUAGCUGAUGCCUGUGAUCCCAGCACUUUGGGAGGCUGAGGCGGGUGGGUCACUUGAACCCAGGAGUUCAAGACCAGCCUGGGCAGCAUAGGGAGACCCUGUCUCUACAAAAAUUCCAAAAUUUAGCCUGGCCUGGUAGGAGCUGAGGUAGGAAGAUCAUCUGAGCCCAGGAGGUCAAGGUUGCGGUGAGCUGAGAUUGCGCCACUGCACUCCAGCCUGGGUAACAGAGCGAGACCCUGUCUCAAGAAAAACAAAAACAAACAAAAAGCCCCCAAAUAACAUGGAUGGUGACAGGCGCCAUGAAAGGCUGACAUGGGAGUGAGACAUAGGCAGUGGCUGGCAGGGGGCGGGCGGGGAUGGGGGUUAGGGAGGAGGAGGUGUCUGCUGGGCUGAGUGCGUCAUGUCCCCUCCACACACGCCACCAAACUCCCACUGCUCCGAGCCGCACUCCGUCCCUGCUCCCCAGCCUAGGGGCUGUGCUGGGGCCUAACCCUUUGUGAGCUCUCCUCAGUCCCGGUCAAGUGGACCUCCUCCCUCCCUCUCCACGGCCCUUGCCCUUGUCCAGGCCACCAUCACCAUCACCAACACCAUCCUUGCCAGCCUGGAGUCCCCUCUCUUCAUUCUGUGGGGCUAAUGGGGGUGGCUGUGUGGCGAGCCUCUGGGGUCUACCAUUGGGGAGGUCUGCAUGGCUGAGGUUGGGGGUUCUCUGGGAACCUGUGGCCAAGGGUCUCUGGUCACAGUGCUGAGGUGGGGCUGGCUUUUCCACAGUGGAGUCCAUUGAUGAUUACGUGAACGUUCCGGAGAGCGGGGAGAGCGCAGAAGCGUCUCUGGAUGGCAGCCGGGAGUAUGUGAAUGUGUCCCAGGAACUGCAUCCUGGAGCGGCUAAGACUGAGCCUGCCGCCCUGAGUUCCCAGGAGGCAGAGGAAGUGGAGGAAGAGGGGGCUCCAGAUUACGAGAAUCUGCAGGAGCUGAACUGAGGGCCUGUGGAGGCCGAGUCUGUCCUGGAACCAGGCUUGCCUGGGACGGCUGAGCUGGGCAGCUGGAAGUGGCUCUGGGGUCCUCACAUGGCGUCCUGCCCUUGCUCCAGCAUGACAACAGCCUGAGAAAUCCCCCCGUAACUUAUUAUCACUUUGGGGUUCGGCCUGUGUCCCCCGAACACUCUGCACCUUCUGACGCAGGCUGAGAAUGACCUGCCCUGGCCCCAGCCCUACUCUGUGUAAUAGAAUAAAGGCCUGCGUGUGUCUGUGUUG
Molecule: small RNA, 2443 nt
Filed under: Pongo abelii (Sumatran orangutan)
Lineage: Eukaryota; Metazoa; Chordata; Mammalia; Primates; Hominidae
Description: retained intron
Source: RNAcentral